UCCAGUGUGGUGUAGUGGUUUCAGUGUUAGACUGUGACUCUGGAGACCAGGGUUCAAAUCUCCUCUCAGCCAUGGAA
Non-coding RNA from Phrynosoma platyrhinos (Desert horned lizard), 77 nucleotides. Lineage: Eukaryota; Metazoa; Chordata; Lepidosauria; Squamata; Phrynosomatidae. The record is from the annotation of a GenBank genome assembly.